This 495-nucleotide ribosomal RNA is filed under the name uncultured bacterium. RNAcentral's name for it is "bacterial SSU rRNA". It matches the Rfam family "Bacterial small subunit ribosomal RNA", at positions 15 to 507 of the family's 1533-position model. The record is from RNAcentral.
GAUCAUGGCUCAGAUUGAACGCUGGCGGAAUGCUUUACACAUGCAAGUCGAACGGUAGAGGGGGCAACCCCUUGAGAGUGGCGAACGGGUGAGUAAUAUAUCGGAACGUGCCCAGUCGUGGGGGAUAACGUAGCGAAAGUUACGCUAAUACCGCAUACGAUCUCAGGAUGAAAGCGGGGGACUCGCAAGAGCCUCGCGCGAUUGGAGCGGCCGAUAUCAGAUUAGGUAGUUGGUGGGGUAAAGGCUCACCAAGCCAACGAUCUGUAGCUGGUCUGAGAGGACGACCAGCCACACUGGAACUGAGACACGGUCCAGACUCCUACGGGAGGCAGCAGUGGGGAAUUUUGGACAAUGGACGCAAGUCUGAUCCAGCCAUUCCGCGUGCAGGAUGAAGGCCCUCGGGUUGUAAACUGCUUUUGUACGGAACGAAAAGGUCUCUAUUAAUACUAGGGGCUCAUGACGGUACCGUAAGAAUAAGCACCGGCUAACUACGUG